This 492-nucleotide ribosomal RNA is filed under the name uncultured bacterium. RNAcentral's name for it is "partial 16S ribosomal RNA". It matches the Rfam family "Bacterial small subunit ribosomal RNA", at positions 29 to 507 of the family's 1533-position model. The record is from RNAcentral.
AGUGAACGCUGGCGGUAGGCCUAACACAUGCAAGUCGAACGGCAGCACAGUAAGAGCUUGCUCUUACGGGUGGCGAGUGGCGGACGGGUGAGGAAUAGAUCGGAAUCUACUUUUUCGGGGGGGAUAACGUAGGGAAACUUACGCUAAUACCGCAUACGACCUACGGGUGAAAGCAGGGGAUCUUCGGACCUUGCGCGAUUGAAUGAGCCGAUGUCGGAUUAGCUAGUUGGCAGGGUAAAGGCCCACCAAGGCGACGAUCCGUAGCUGGUCUGAGAGGAUGAUCGGCCACACUGGAACUGAGACACGGUCCAGACUCCUACGGGAGGCAGCAGUAGGGAAUCUUGGACAAUGGGCGCAAGCCUGAUCCAGCCAUGCCGCGUGAGUGAAGAAGGCCUUCGGGUCGUAAAGCCCUUUUGUUGGGAAAGAAAAGCAGUGGGUUAAUACCUCGCUGUUCUGACGGUACCCAAUCAAUAAGCACCGGCUAACUUCGUG